Molecule: ribosomal RNA, 164 nt
Filed under: uncultured bacterium
Lineage: Bacteria
Description: partial 16S rRNA
Rfam family: Bacterial small subunit ribosomal RNA
Source: RNAcentral
UAGGGAAUCUUCCACAAUGGGCGAAAGCCUGAUGGAGCAACGCCGCGUGAGUGAAGAAGGGUUUCGGCUCGUAAAACUCUGUUGUUAAAGAAGAACAUAUCUGAGAGUAACUGUUCAGGUAUUGACGGUAUUUAACCAGAAAGCCACGGCUAACUACGUGCCAC